UACGUAUGGAGCAAGCGUUAUCCGGAUUUACUGGGUGUAAAGGGAGUGUAGGUGGCCAUGCAAGUCAGAAGUGAAAAUCCGGGGCUCAACCCCGGAACUGCUUUUGAAACUGUGAGGCUAGAGUGCAGGAGGGGUGAGUGGAAUUCCUAGUGUAGCGGUGAAAUGCGUAGAUAUUAGGAGGAACACCAGUGGCGAAGGCGGCUCACUGGACUGUAACUGACACUGAGGCUCGAAAGCGUGGGGAGCAAACAGG
RNAcentral lists this ribosomal RNA (253 nucleotides) under Lachnospira eligens. RNAcentral describes it as "partial 16S ribosomal RNA". It matches the Rfam family "Bacterial small subunit ribosomal RNA", at positions 524 to 776 of the family's 1533-position model. RNAcentral also lists the same sequence under 1 other name. Lineage: Bacteria; Bacillati; Bacillota; Clostridia; Lachnospirales; Lachnospiraceae. The record is from RNAcentral.